RNAcentral lists this small RNA (580 nucleotides) under Pongo abelii (Sumatran orangutan). Its description in RNAcentral is "processed transcript". The record is from RNAcentral. Lineage: Eukaryota; Metazoa; Chordata; Mammalia; Primates; Hominidae.
GGGCCAGGGGAGCCACCGCCCCGGGUCCUCGAGGAAGACGGGAGCGGGACGUGGCGAGAGGCCUCCUCAGACUGGGCAAAAUAGCCCCGACGCGGAGGUCGUGUCCCCGUCACGUUUACUGGCGACCGCAGGCGCAGAUUCCUUGGCUUCCCUCAGCACUUUCCCUUCCGCGCGGACGGCCCCGAGACGCUUUUUCACUGGGCCUUGUCGCCAGCACCCGGCGUGGGGGAUGUGUAGUUGGUGACUGCCUCUCCAGAUGCUGAGGUGCCUGUAUCAUUGGCACAGGCCAGUGCUGAACUGUAGGUGGAGUAGGCUGUGCCUUCUGAAGCGGUAUCUAUUUACAAUGAAGUUGCAGUCUCCCGAAUUCCAGUCACUUUUCACAGAAGGAUUGAAGAGUCUGACAGCCCCCAAUUUUUCAACUUCAAUUGCAAGAAGCCUCUUGGAAGAAGGAGUAGUAAUUAACUCUUGAUGGCUUAACUCAGGUCAUUCUGCAUUUUUUGGAAAUAAGGUUCUAAAUAUUGAUUACUAUAGUUUCUUGCACAUCAUUUUAACAAUUGUGUUUAACUCUCUAAACCUGACA